UACGUAGGGUGCGAGCGUUGUCCGGAAUUAUUGGGCGUAAAGAGCUCGUAGGCGGUGUGUCGCGUCGGUCGUGAAAACUUGGGGCUUAACCCUGAGCUUGCGGUCGAUACGGGCAUCACUGGAGUUCGGCAGGGGAGACUGGAAUUCCUGGUGUAGCGGUGAAAUGCGCAGAUAUCAGGAGGAACACCAGCGGCGAAGGCGGCGCUCUGGGCCGGUACUGACGCUGAGACGCGAAAGCGUGGGGAGCGAACAGG
RNAcentral lists this ribosomal RNA (254 nucleotides) under uncultured bacterium. RNAcentral describes it as "partial 16S ribosomal RNA". It matches the Rfam family "Bacterial small subunit ribosomal RNA", at positions 524 to 776 of the family's 1533-position model. The record is from RNAcentral.